AGAAAUCGUGAUCAAAACGAAUCAAAAGAAACAACACAACAUAUAAUACAUAAUAUUACAAGUAAAGAAUAAAAAAUCGAAAUAGUACUGAAAACUCACAAAGCUUUGCACGGUGUUGAAUCAUAAAGGGUAAGUGGUUGUUGAGAAAGGAGUUGCAAUGACGGUUUUAUGGAGUGUUUGGGUGGUUUCGUUGAGAGAAGUAUGAAGAGGUUUCGG
Molecule: long non-coding RNA, 216 nt
Filed under: Lathyrus oleraceus (garden pea)
Lineage: Eukaryota; Viridiplantae; Streptophyta; Magnoliopsida; Fabales; Fabaceae
Description: Pisum sativum (pea) long non-coding RNA (PSAT_LNC010701)
Source: RNAcentral